AUCAAGGGUCCCCUACACCAUAUGGAGGAACAGUUAACAGUUUCAUCAAUUCUUACAAACCAUUCGUGUUUUUGGAUAGAUUAUUCAUACCCUUACAUCCUGAUACAGUAGAUCAAAUCAACAACAUUUACAUUCCUUUCUCAACCAACAAACAUGAUCAAUCUUUCUGGAACCAAACAUCUCUUGGCAGCUUUACCACAAAGUCAGCAGAUAACUCUAGAUCAACAACCAAAUACCACAACCCACCGCUGCAAAUAACUCUUGGCUUUGGUAAUUCAAGUGUUUGAAUAAACUGAAGUUUUUC
Molecule: long non-coding RNA, 304 nt
Filed under: Nicotiana benthamiana
Lineage: Eukaryota; Viridiplantae; Streptophyta; Magnoliopsida; Solanales; Solanaceae
Description: long non-coding RNA (NBEN_LNC029460)
Source: RNAcentral